GAUUUUUGAUGUCUAAGAAAAAUUCAUCUUCACCCUAGAUGCCGAUAUUUUGUUUAUGGGUGAGAAUCAACCUUUGAGCCGCUAUGGUGAUGUUUGGGCUGGUUUUUGCAGCAAGGUGAUUUAUGAUCAUCUUGGGUUGGGUGUAAAAAUAAGCCUACCUUGUGUUUGGUAUAUUCGUCAAAGAGUCAAUCUAGUGGGAAGAUAUAAGAAUGAGUUGAAUGGGUUGAAUGGCAUGAGAGGAUAUACUUAUUCUUCCAAGAUGUGAAGUUUCCGUAUCAAAUUCAAUGACGUGUAAAAAUGCUAGGAAACUUACCAACUAGGUGAAGGAGAACUUAGGACAUGUAAACUUGGUGAUGCAAUGUUAGCUUGGGUUAAAGCCUGGUAAACACUAAAUCCUCAUGGAAAAGUUACAGAUAACUGACUUGUUGAAAGUGCAUUUUAUAAAUUAUCGAUAAUGAUGAUAAGAGGGACCACAUCGUUAGAGAGUUGUUUGCUUUUGGAUUUUUGGAGGUCUAUUUUAUUUGACAACAAAGGGUUUAUGCUAAUUCCCUAUAUUUUACAGACUGCUAUAAAGAUUGUUUCAAGCUACUUUUUUUUUCCAAACUGAAUUAUGUUAUUCGUUGUUAGUUUGAGCUUGUUUUUCCUUCCAACCUGAAAUUUUUGUUGUUCUUUUUAUGUUUUCCAAAACUUUACCUGUUUCUGUGGUAAAUUUUUUUAAAGAGUGAAUUAAGUAUAAUAAUGUAUAAAUGUUAUGUCU
Molecule: long non-coding RNA, 757 nt
Organism: Papaver somniferum (opium poppy)
Lineage: Eukaryota; Viridiplantae; Streptophyta; Magnoliopsida; Ranunculales; Papaveraceae
Exons: 3
Source: RefSeq, a predicted model, not a curated record